Molecule: long non-coding RNA, 1084 nt
Filed under: Oryctolagus cuniculus (rabbit)
Lineage: Eukaryota; Metazoa; Chordata; Mammalia; Lagomorpha; Leporidae
Description: lncRNA (ENSOCUG00000035164.1)
Source: RNAcentral
AUGGCCGCAGGGACUCUUCCACUGAUUCUCCGCCUCAUUGCAGUGUGUUUCCCCCAGGUGUGGCAUUGUCAGCUCACGCCACUGACUUCUUUACUCACAGGUUCAACAGCAGAAGGAGACCUUGAUGAGAGUCCAGACAUCGGAGCUGCUUUUCCUUCUCACGCCUCCCUAUGCAGCUCUCUCCUGAAUCAUCAUGCUCCAGUUCUAGCCGAAAUACUGGAUACAAAUUGCCAGCAGGUGGAGUUUUGUAUUACGCUAACUAACUUAAGACCAGUCUUGGACGUCACUUAACUCUGAAAGUAACUGCUCUGCUAUUUUCUCUCUUGCAGAGAUUGUAAUCAGGAGCCUCCUUGUCAAUCAACGCUCCUCUGCAGCAGGUUCUGGGGGAUGCAAGGAUGUAUGUGUUGGGCAUGUCGUGUGACCAAAGAGGGUCAAGGGCAGUGGUCUGUGGACUCAGCCAUCUCUCACAUACACACCUGUUUAUUAAUAUGACCAAGAGUGAUUGUCCUGGAUUCUCUGUGCUUAGUCAAGAAAACUUACCAAGGAUGGAAGAGAGAAGUGACUGGAAGCACAAUUGAAAAUACAGGCACUGUUAACUAGAGGUAUGUAGAAGGAACUGGAGUUAGAUUACUGGUUUCUAGGAGCUGGGGGUAAGAUCUUUUGGGGUGAUUAAAACAUUCUGGAGUUAAUGGUGAUAGUACAAGUUUGUGAAGAUACUAACUGCUAUUGACUUUUAACUCAGAAGAAUGAAUGUGAUGGUAUGUGAAUUUUAAAAUAUUUAAAGGAGGGGCCUGUGCUGUGGCUUAGUGGGCUAAGCCUCCGCCUGCGGUGCCUGCAUCCCAUAAUGGGUUCCGAUUUGAGUCACUGCUGCUCCACUUCUGGUCAGCAUCCCUGCUGAUGGCCUGGGAAAGCAGUAGAAGAUGAUCCAAGGACUUGGGCCCCUGCACCACUAUGGGAGACCCAGAAGAAGCUCUUGGCUCCUGGCUUCAGAGUGGGGAGUGAGCCAGUGGAUGAGAGACCUCUCCCUGUUAAUUCUGCCUCUCAAGUAAAUAAAUCUUUUAAAAAAAUGUUUAAAGGAAAUAAA